Molecule: ribosomal RNA, 465 nt
Filed under: uncultured bacterium
Lineage: Bacteria
Description: partial 16S ribosomal RNA
Rfam family: Bacterial small subunit ribosomal RNA
Source: RNAcentral
GACGAACGCUGGCGGCGUGCUUAACACAUGCAAGUCGAACGGAAGGGCCCUGCUUGCAGGGUACUCGAGUGGCGAACGGGUGAGUAACACGUGGGUGAUCUGCCCUGCACUUCGGGAUAAGCCUGGGAAACUGGGUCUAAUACCGGCUAGGUGCCAUUUUUAGUGUGAUGGUUGGAAAGUUUUUUCGGUGUAGGAUGAGCUCGCGGCCUAUCAGCUUGUUGGUGGGGUAAUGGCGUACCAAGGCGGCGGCGGGUAGCCGGCCUGUGGGGGUGGACGGCCACAUUGGGACUGACGGGCGGCCCAGACUCCUACGGGAGGCAGCUGUGCGGAAUCUUGCACGAUGGGCGCCAGCCUGAUGCUGCGACGCCGCGUGGCGUAUGACUGCCUUCGGGUUGUAAACUCCUUUCGCUAGGGACGAAGCUUUUUGUGACGGUACCUAGAUAAGAAGCACCGGCUAACUACGUG